This 503-nucleotide ribosomal RNA is filed under the name uncultured bacterium. RNAcentral describes it as "partial 16S ribosomal RNA". It matches the Rfam family "Bacterial small subunit ribosomal RNA", at positions 30 to 523 of the family's 1533-position model. The record is from RNAcentral.
AUUGAACGCUGGCGGCAGGCUUAACACAUGCAAGUCGAGCGGGGUGAUGGUGCUUGCACUAUCACUUAGCGGCGGACGGGUGAGUAAUGCUUAGGAAUCUGCCUAUUAGUGGGGGACAACAUCUCGAAAGGGAUGCUAAUACCGCAUACGUCCUACGGGAGAAAGCAGGGGAUCCGUUGUGACCUUGCGCUAAUAGAUGAGCCUAAGUCGGAUUAGCUAGUUGGUGGGGUAAAGGCCUACCAAGGCGACGAUCUGUAGCGGGUCUGAGAGGAUGAUCCGCCACACUGGGACUGAGACACGGCCCAGACUCCUACGGGAGGCAGCAGUGGGGAAUAUUGGACAAUGGGGGGAACCCUGAUCCAGCCAUGCCGCGUGUGUGAAGAAGGCCUUAUGGUUGUAAAGCACUUUAAGCGAGGAGGAGGCUCUUUUGGUUAAUACCCAAGAUGAGUGGACGUUACUCGCAGAAUAAGCACCGGCUAACUCUGUGCCAGCCGCCGCGGUAA